This 759-nucleotide ribosomal RNA is filed under the name Neisseria subflava. RNAcentral's name for it is "bacterial SSU rRNA". It matches the Rfam family "Bacterial small subunit ribosomal RNA", at positions 28 to 776 of the family's 1533-position model. Lineage: Bacteria; Pseudomonadati; Pseudomonadota; Betaproteobacteria; Neisseriales; Neisseriaceae. The record is from RNAcentral.
AUUGAACGCUGGCGGCAUGCUUUACACAUGCAAGUCGGACGGCAGCACAGAGAAGCUUGCUUCUUGGGUGGCGAGUGGCGAACGGGUGAGUAAUAUAUCGGAACGUACCGAGUAAUGGGGGAUAACUAAUCGAAAGAUUAGCUAAUACCGCAUAUUCUCUGAGGAGGAAAGCAGGGGACCUUCGGGCCUUGCGUUAUUCGAGCGGCCGAUAUCUGAUUAGCUAGUUGGUGGGGUAAAGGCCUACCAAGGCGACGAUCAGUAGCGGGUCUGAGAGGAUGAUCCGCCACACUGGGACUGAGACACGGCCCAGACUCCUACGGGAGGCAGCAGUGGGGAAUUUUGGACAAUGGGCGCAAGCCUGAUCCAGCCAUGCCGCGUGUCUGAAGAAGGCCUUCGGGUUGUAAAGGACUUUUGUCAGGGAAGAAAAGGCUGUUGCUAAUAUCGACAGCUGAUGACGGUACCUGAAGAAUAAGCACCGGCUAACUACGUGCCAGCAGCCGCGGUAAUACGUAGGGUGCGAGCGUUAAUCGGAAUUACUGGGCGUAAAGCGAGCGCAGACGGUUACUUAAGCAGGAUGUGAAAUCCCCGGGCUUAACCUGGGAACUGCGUUCUGAACUGGGUGACUAGAGUGUGUCAGAGGGAGGUAGAAUUCCACGUGUAGCAGUGAAAUGCGUAGAGAUGUGGAGGAAUACCGAUGGCGAAGGCAGCCUCCUGGGAUAACACUGACGUUCAUGCCCGAAAGCGUGGGUAGCAAACAGG